Molecule: ribosomal RNA, 553 nt
Filed under: Gilliamella apicola
Lineage: Bacteria; Pseudomonadati; Pseudomonadota; Gammaproteobacteria; Orbales; Orbaceae
Also listed under: 1 other name
Description: bacterial LSU rRNA
Rfam family: Bacterial large subunit ribosomal RNA
Source: RNAcentral
AGUGACGGCUCGAGCAGGUACGAAAGUAGGUCAUAGUGAUCCGGUGGUUCUGAAUGGAAGGGCCAUCGCUCAACGGAUAAAAGGUACUCCGGGGAUAACAGGCUGAUACCGCCCAAGAGUUCAUAUCGACGGCGGUGUUUGGCACCUCGAUGUCGGCUCAUCACAUCCUGGGGCUGAAGUAGGUCCCAAGGGUACGGCUGUUCGCCGUUUAAAGUGGUACGCGAGCUGGGUUUAGAACGUCGUGAGACAGUUCGGUCCCUAUCUGCCAUGGGCGUAGGAAAAUUGAGAGGGUUUGCUUCUAGUACGAGAGGACCGAAGUGAACGCACCGCUGGUGUACGGGUUGUGAUGCCAAUUGCAUUGCCCGGUAGCUACGUGCGGAAUAGAUAAGUGCUGAAAGCAUCUAAGUACGAAACUAGCCUCGAGAUGAGUUUUCCCUGAUGAGAAUCAGUAAGGUCCGUUUGAGACUAAGACGUAGAUAGGUCAGGUGUGUAAGUGUAGUGAUACAUUGAGCUAACUGAUACUAAUGAACCGAGAGUCUUAACCUUACAACUC